RNAcentral lists this long non-coding RNA (1947 nucleotides) under Homo sapiens (human). RNAcentral's name for it is "ZNF217 antisense RNA 1 (ZNF217-AS1)". Lineage: Eukaryota; Metazoa; Chordata; Mammalia; Primates; Hominidae. The record is from RNAcentral.
UCAAACAUGUGACAACAUUAAGCACCCUGGUAGAGGCAAGAUUUGCCAGGCGGCUCUCACAUACCCCUGCCUCCCACAAUACUACCCCCGCCUCCCAUGAUAUGAUGAGAUGACAAGGCACUUUACCUCUGCAUUAUACUCCACAAAACCCGUAAUCCCAGACAAUCAUGAGAAAACAUCAGACAAACCCAGAUCAGCAGACAUUCUACAAAACACCGAGUCCUUCCCAACACUGUCCACGGAAUGAAAAACAAGGAAAAUCUAAGAAAUGGUCACAGACGAGAGAAGACUACAAGAGGCAUGAUGACUGAAUGCAAGGGUCUCACUCUGCUGUCCAAGCUGGAGUGUGGUGGUGCCAUCAUGACUCACUGCAGCCUUGGCCUCCCAGGCUCAAGCGAUCCUCCUGCCUCGGCCUCCAGAGUCUCUGGGACUACAGGAGUCUCACUCUUUCGCUGAGGCUGGCUUGCAAUGGCACGACCUCAGCUCACUACAACCUCUGCCUUCUGAGUUCAAGCGAUUCUCCUGCCUCAGCCUCCCAAGUAGCUGGGAUUACAGGAGAAAAGACUGCAGAACCACACAAGGCUCACGCUGCCCAGGGAGAACGUCAUCUCAGUUCCCAUAUGAGUCCCGAUGAAAAUAUGACAGAGAAAUUCUGUCCUGGACCACGAGCAUCUUUUCAUCUUCGUAUCCUAGCAGCCAGCAGGCACUUGGUGAAGAGGCUGCUCAACGAAUAUACAGUGACGGUUUUACGGGACAAGAGUUACCUGAGGAACAACUAAAUCUGCCCCAUCAAGCAAUUCUUGACAGAGUGUUGUCACCACACAGAAUCCUCAGUUUGAAACUAACACAAACUGAAAUGUGCAAAACUGAAUCUGUUUCUUUGGGGAGCACAAACCAGUAGAGCUUCUAUGUGAUAAAGGAAGAUGCUGCAGUUUGACCGAGUUUGCCAAGGAGAAGAUGUCCCUGGGACACUGAGCUACUUUUUUACACAUACAGGUCAAGGGUCCACGUGUGGUCCUUACUGGGCGCCCCCUAUUCUGCCCCGUGUGGGAAGCAUGUGACUUGAUGCUGUACAUGUAAAACAUGGUUUCUGCUCUUAAGAAGUUUACAGGCCAGCAGGGAAUGGUAAAAUGCGUGAGGAAGAACCCCUAGGCUGGGCGCGGUGGCUCACACCUGUAAUCCCAGUACUUUGGGAGGCCGAGGCCAGUGCAUCACCUGAGGUCAGGAGUUCAAGACCAGCCUGGCCAACAUGCUGAAACCCUGUCUCUACUAAAAAUACAAGAAUUAGCCGGGCGUGGUGGCACGUGCCUAUUACCCCAGCUACUCAGGAGGCUGAGGCUGGAGAAUUGCUUGAACCCAGGAGAAGGAGGUUUCAGUGAGCCGAGAUCGUGCCACUGCACUCAGGCUGGGCAACAAGAGCAAAACUCCGUCUCAAAAAAAAAAAAAAAAAGAAAGAAAGAAAAAAAAAACCCCCGCAACUCCAGGUGGAUUGGCACUGACUACUGAGCACACCAUACAUGUGCAAAGGAAGAAAAAGGGCUGUGAUGAAGUGAGGCAAGCUGGGGCCUCAACUGGCUGCAUCUGGAAUUUCAACAGCAAGACAAGAAUGGACUAGACAGACCAGUGUUCUCACCCACUGUUUCCAUGAUCACUCUCACAACAGAAAAAUAAAAUUGACAAGAAAAAUUACUCAAGAAUAAGGCUGGGUAUGGUGGCUCGCGCCUGUAAUGCUGGCAUUCUGGGAGGCCGAGGCAGGAGGAUCACUUGAGGCCAGGGGUUUCAGACCAGCCCGGGCAACAAAGCAAAUCCCUGUCUCUACAAAAAAAUAAAUUUAAGUUAGCCAAGCGUGGUGGAGUGCAUCUGUAGUCUAAGAUACUUGGGAGGUCAACGCAGGAGGAUCACCUCAGGCCAGGAGUUCAAGACCAGCCUGGGCAACUCCAUCUCUAC